GGCCAGACUCCUACGGGAGGCAGCAGUGGGGAAUAUUGCACAAUGGGGGAAACCCUGAUGCAGCGACGCCGCGUGAGUGAAGAAGUAUUUCGGUAUGUAAAGCUCUAUCAGCAGGGAAGAAGUUGACGGUACCUGAGUAAGAAGCCCCGGCUAACUACGUGCCAGCAGCCGCGGUAAUACGUAGGGGGCAAGCGUUAUCCGGAUUUACUGGGUGUAAAGGGAGCGUAGACGGUGAAGCAAGUCUGAAGUGAAAGGCGGGGGCUCAACCCCCGGACUGCUUUGGGAACUGUUUGACUGGAGUGCAGGAGAGGUAAGUGGAAUUCCUAGUGUAGCGGUGAAAUGCGUAGAUAUUAGGAGGAACACCAGUGGCGAAGGCGGCUUACUGGACCGUAACUGACGUUGAGGCGCGAAAGCGUGGGGAGCAAACAGGAUUAGAUACCCGGGUAGC
Molecule: ribosomal RNA, 448 nt
Filed under: uncultured bacterium
Lineage: Bacteria
Description: bacterial SSU rRNA
Rfam family: Bacterial small subunit ribosomal RNA
Source: RNAcentral